UACGUAGGUGGCAAGCGUUGUCCGGAUUUACUGGGUGUAAAGGGCGUGCAGCCGGAGAGACAAGUCAGAUGUGAAAUCCACGGGCUCAACCCGUGAACUGCAUUUGAAACUGUUUCCCUUGAGUGUCGGAGAGGUAAUCGGAAUUCCUUGUGUAGCGGUGAAAUGCGUAGAUAUAAGGAAGAACACCAGUGGCGAAGGCGAAUUACUGGACGAUAACUGACGGUGAGGCGCGAAAGCGUGGGGAGCAAACAGG
Molecule: ribosomal RNA, 253 nt
Filed under: uncultured bacterium
Lineage: Bacteria
Description: partial 16S ribosomal RNA
Rfam family: Bacterial small subunit ribosomal RNA
Source: RNAcentral